AGAGUUUGAUCAUGGCUCAGAACGUACGCUGGCGGCACGCCUAACACAUGCAAGUCGAACGAAGUAGCAAUACUUAGUGGCGAACGGGUGAGUAUAAUGUGGGUAUCUGCCCUUUGGUCUGGAAUAACACGGGGAAACUUGUGCUAAUACUAGAUAAGCCUUUACAGGGAAAGCUUUAGCGCCAAUGGAUGAGCUCACACUUGAUUAACUAGUUGGUGGGGUAAUGGCCUACCAAGGUUGCGAUCAAUAGCUGAUCUGAGAGGAUGAUCAGCCACAUUGGGACUGAGACACGGCCCAGACUCCUACGGGAGGCAGCAGUGGGGAAUCUUGCACAAUGGGGGAAACCCUGAUGCAGCGAUGCCGCGUGAGUGAAGAAGGCCUUUGGGUUGUAAAGCUCUUUCGUCGGGGAAGAAAAUGACUGUACCCGAAUAAGAAGGUCCGGCUAACUUCGUGCCAGCAGCCGCGGUAAUACGAAGGGACCUAGCGUAGUUCGGAAUUACUGGGCUUAAAGAGCUCGUAGGUGGUUAAGAAAGUUGGUGGUGAAAUCCCAGAGCUUAACUCUGGAACUGCCAUCAAAACUUUUUAGCUAGAGUAUGAUAGAGGAAAGUAGAAUUUCUAGUGUAGAGGUGAAAUUCGUAGAUAUUAGAAAGAAUACCAAUUGCGAAGGCAGCUUUCUGGAUCAUUACUGACACUGAGGUGCGAAAGCAUGGGUAGCGAAGAGGAUUAGAUACCCUCGUAGUCCAUGCCGUAAACGAUGUGUGCUAGACGUUGGAAAUUUAAUUUUCAGUGUCGCAGCAAAAGCAUUAAGCACACCGCCUGGGGAGUACGACCGCAAGGUUAAAACUCAAAUGAAUUGACGGGGACCCGCACAAGUAGUGGAGCAUGUGGUUUAAUUCGAAGAUACGCGCAGAACCUUACCAACACUUGACAUGUUCGUCGCGACUCUAAGAGAUUAGAGUUU
This 961-nucleotide ribosomal RNA is filed under the name marine metagenome. RNAcentral describes it as "bacterial SSU rRNA". It matches the Rfam family "Bacterial small subunit ribosomal RNA", at positions 8 to 1015 of the family's 1533-position model. The record is from RNAcentral.